AGAGUUUGAUCCUGGCUCAGGACGAACGCUGGCGGCAUGCCUAACACAUGCAAGUCGAACGGACGACUUUACGGAAGAAGCUUCGGUUUUGGAAGUAAGGAAGUUAGUGGCGGAUGGGUGAGUAACGCGUGGAUAACCUACCUUCAGGUUGGGGACAACUCCGGGAAACCGGAGCUAAUACCGAAUAAAAUUCCAGGAACGCAUGUUUUUGGAAUCAAAGGGGGCCUCUCUAAAGAAGCUCUUGCCAGAAGAUGGAUCCGCGUCUGAUUAGCUUGUUGGUGGGGUAGUAGCCUACCAAGGCAACGAUCAGUAGCCGGCCUGAGAGGGUGAACGGCCACACUGGGACUGAGACACGGCCCAGACUCCUACGGGAGGCAGCAGUGGGGAAUCUUCCGCAAUGGGCGAAAGCCUGACGGAGCAAUGCCGCGUGAAUGAAGAAGGCCUUCGGGUUGUAAAGUUCUGUUGAAAAGGAAGAAAGUGAGAUGGGCUAAUACCCUAUUUUAUUGACGGUACUUUUUGAGGAAGCCCCGGCUAACUACGUGCCAGCAGCCGCGGUAAUACGUAGGGGGCAAGCGUUGUCCGGAAUCACUGGGCGUAAAGCGCAUGCAGGCGGGAUAUUAAGUCAGGUGUGAAAACUAUGGGCUCAACCUGUAGACUGCAUCUGAAACUGGUAUUCUUGAGUAUUGGAGAGGAAAGUGGAAUUCCUAGUGUAGCGGUGAAAUGCGUAGAUAUUAGGAGGAACACCAGUGGCGAAGGCGACUUUCUGGCCAAAAACUGACGCUCAGAUGCGAAAGCGUGGGGAGCAAACAGGAUUAGAUACCCUGGUGGUCCACGCCGUAAAACGAUGGGGUACUAGGCGUUGGGUGUCAAAGCUCAGUGCCGCAGUUAACACAAUAAGUACCCCGCCUGGGGAGUACGUUCGCAAGAAUGAAACUCAAAAGGAAUUGACGGGGACCCGCACAAGCGGUGGAGCAUGUGGUUUAAUUCGACGCAACGCGAAGAACCUUACCAAGGCUUGACAUCCCUUGACGGUCUAAGAGAUUAGAUUUUCUUUUCGGAGACAAGGAGACAGGUGGUGCACGGUUGUCGUCAGCUCGUGUCGUGAGAUGUUGGGUUAAGUCCCGCAACGAGCGCAACCCCUACAGUUAGUUGCCAUCAUUAAGUUGGGCACUCUAGCAGGACUGCCGGUGACAAACCGGAGGAAGGUGGGGAUGACGUCAAAUCAUCAUGCCCCUUAUGUCUUGGGCUACACACGUGCUACAAUGGGCAGUACAGAGGGCAGCGAAGCCGCGAGGUGAAGCGAAUCUCAAAAAGCUGUUCCCAGUUCGGAUUGCAGGCUGCAACUCGCCUGCAUGAAGCAGGAAUCGCUAGUAAUCGCAGGUCAGCAUACUGCGGUGAAUACGUUCCCGGGUCUUGCACACACCGCCCGUCA
This 1432-nucleotide ribosomal RNA is filed under the name uncultured bacterium. RNAcentral's name for it is "bacterial SSU rRNA". It matches the Rfam family "Bacterial small subunit ribosomal RNA". The record is from RNAcentral.